AGUUAUGUUUGACUGUUUGCUGGGCCUAUGACAGACAAGGCAAGCUCUACUCUCAGAAGCAAAAAUUAUAUAUCUAGGAGUCAGAGUAUGAAUCAAGAAGAAUGGACUUCUGCUUCUUAUCUACCUAAUGCCAGAAAGCACAAGCAACAACAACAAAAAAGAUGAAUAAACUGGAUUUCAACAAAAACACAUUUGUGCUUCAGAGAACAUAAUCAAGAAAGUGAAAAGGCAACCCACCAAUGGGAGAACACAGUUUCAAAACAUAUAUCUAAUAAAAUAUUUGAGUCCAGAU
RNAcentral lists this long non-coding RNA (292 nucleotides) under Homo sapiens (human). RNAcentral describes it as "HSALNT0316245". Lineage: Eukaryota; Metazoa; Chordata; Mammalia; Primates; Hominidae. The record is from RNAcentral.